RNAcentral lists this long non-coding RNA (120 nucleotides) under Neodiprion pinetum (white pine sawfly). Its description in RNAcentral is "uncharacterized LOC124221419". The record is from RNAcentral. Lineage: Eukaryota; Metazoa; Arthropoda; Insecta; Hymenoptera; Diprionidae.
GCCCCACACCCACACAAAUACGGACGCGACGGCACACACCAGACGGAGACCCGACGAACCCUACUACCGACACCCCCCACAUACAGAAAGCCACACAGAGACACUCACAAACACACACAA